CGUAGGAGACGAGCGUUAUCCGGAUUUACUGGGCGUAAAGCGUGUGCAGGCGGUUCGGCAAGUUGGAUGUGAAAUCUCCCGGCUCAACUGGGAGGGGUCGUUCAAUACUACCGAACUUGAGGUCAUCAGAGGAAGAUGGAAUUCCCGGUGUAGUGGUGAAAUGCGUAGAUAUCGGGAGGAUCACCAGUGGCGAAGGCGGUCUUCUGGGAUGAUCCUGACGCUCAGACACGAAAGCUAGGGGAGCGAACGGGAUUAGAGACCCCGGUAGUCCUAGCUGUAAACGAUGUAGACUUGGCGUCGGAGGGUUCAAAACCUUCGGUGUCGUAGCUAACGCGAUAAGUCUACCGCCUGGGGACUACGGCCGCAAGGUUA
This 372-nucleotide ribosomal RNA is filed under the name uncultured organism. Its description in RNAcentral is "bacterial SSU rRNA". It matches the Rfam family "Bacterial small subunit ribosomal RNA", at positions 526 to 896 of the family's 1533-position model. The record is from RNAcentral.